Molecule: ribosomal RNA, 488 nt
Filed under: uncultured bacterium
Lineage: Bacteria
Description: partial 16S ribosomal RNA
Rfam family: Bacterial small subunit ribosomal RNA
Source: RNAcentral
GACGAACGCUGGCGGCGUGCUUAACACAUGCAAGUCGAACGCGCCUGUCCUCUGGGUUUCUGGGGGGUGGGUGAGUGGCGAACGGGUGAGUAACACGUGAGUAACCUGCCCCCUUCUUCGGGAUAACGGUCUGAAGGGGCUGCUAAUACCGGGUAUUCACUGGUCUCCGCAUGGGGUCUGGUGGAAAGGUUUUUUUCUGGUGGGGGAUGGGCUCGCGGCCUAUCAGCUUGUUGGUGGGGUGAUGGCCCACCAAGGCUUUGACGGGUAGCCGGCCUGAGAGGGUGACCGGUCACAUUGGGACUGAGAUACGGCCCAGACUCCUACGGGAGGCAGCAGUGGGGAAUAUUGCACAAUGGGCGCAAGCCUGAUGCAGCGACGCCGCGUGAGGGAUGGAGGCCUUCGGGUUGUGAACCUCUUUCGCCCGUGGUCAAGCCGCGACGUGGGUCGUGGUGAGGGUAGUGGGUAAAGAAGCGCCGGCUAACUACGUG